This is an RNA transcript of Photinus pyralis (common eastern firefly), 2302 nucleotides long. It is a transcript of the gene named putative nuclease HARBI1, with no coding region annotated. The record is from RefSeq and is a predicted model, not a curated record. The transcript has 2 exons. NCBI's taxonomy places the organism in Eukaryota, Metazoa, Arthropoda, Insecta, Coleoptera, Lampyridae.
AUGCACAAAAGUUAAUCAAAGCUUAACGGCGCUGUUAACUCAUUUGUUUCGAUUAAAAAAUGACAUUUGCUUUGAUUAAAUUAGUUAAUUUAACGGAACUGUUAAACAUCGAUUAAGCUAAAAUUCCUAUGCACAAAAAAGAAUUAGCAUUAACGACGCCGUCAAGUCGGCUUUAAUCACGGCAAAAUUUAACCGGUGCUCAUUGACUGAUUAAACUGACAGUUCGUUGAUAAUGUUCAAUUUGAUCUUGUGGAACGUAUUUUUAUAGAAUAAUUUGACCUAUUCUAAUAGUUAUUCGAGAUGUUCCUUAUUGUUAAUUAGUGUUAAAGUUCUCAGUUUGUGUUCAGUUCAUUUUUUAAUAGGUACUUACUUUUUCAUAAAUAAAUUUGGAAAUAAUAUGUAAGUGAAAAAUUACUUUUUACUUAUAAAUAACAUAAUUCCUUACUGUUUAUUUAGCCAUUUUCAUGUUGGACAUUUCACUCUCCUCUUUUUCUUCGUCCUCCGAUGAAGAGGAAGCCCCCGCCAGGAGAAUAAGAUUUAUAAGGGAUAGAAACAAUCCUUUUCAAAUAUACGAUGAUAUCGAUUUCAAAAUGAGGUACAGGUUUUCGAAGCCAAUAGUACAAAAUUUGCUUCAUAUGUUUGGACAUUUAAUAGAACCGAAAACCAAGAGGAACAAAAGUAUUGAUGGCCUAACCCAGCUUCUAAUAACUCUUCGGUUCUAUGCAACUGGAACAUAUCAAAGAGUUAUUGGAGAUCAUAUCAACGUAAAUCAGAGUACUGCCUGUCGUGUGAUAAAUAGAGUCACCAGACAUCUUGCUCGUCAAAGGCCAAAUUUUAUAAACAUGCCCAAGAACCAAGACGACAUUUUACAAGUCUGUAGAGGCUUUUACAGAAUCAGAGGGUUUCCUAAAGUGAUUGGAGCUAUAGAUUGCACACACAUCAAGAUACAGUCUCCUGGUGGAAAUAAUGCUGAGCUAUAUAGAAAUAGAAAAGGCUUCUUUUCUAUUAAUGUGCAAGCCAUAUGUGAUGCCACAUUAAAAAUCAGGCACAUAAUAAGUAGAUGGCCAGGAUCUGUUCAUGACAGUACUAUUUUCAAUGAUAGUCCAUUAAUCCCGGAAUUUGAAGCUGACCAAUACGGAGCAGGAACUUAUUUAUUGGGGGACUCUGGAUAUGCUUGUAAGAAAUAUCUCUUAACCCCUUUCUUGAAUCCCCGAACGCCCGCAGAAGAACGAUACAACAGGUCACAUGUGGCAACAAGGAAUACGAUCGAAAGAACAUUCGGUGUGUUAAAAAGAAGGUUUCCUUGUCUCUUUUUAGGCUUGAGAAAUACUGUUCACGUAUGUUUGAUGAUAAUAGUUGCAUGCGCGGUCUUACACAAUAUUGCCAUUGAUUCAAAUGACCAUUUAAACGAAUUUUUUGAAGAUCAAGGCAGAGCUGAAGACAUACCGAUCGCAGAAGGUUACCGGAAUGAAAAUACAUCCAUUAGAACUGCUCUAGUUAAUACUACUUUCAGUUAAUAAAUUUGUUCUGUCCGUUUAUUUGUUCAUUUACUUCCUUAAAAAAGGAACACAGAAGUUAAACAGCUGAAUCCAGCACCUAACUGCGAAGUCAUCUUAAACUUCAGCGAAAUACUUUUUUGCUGAUUUUCGACUUCGUCAGGUAUAUAGGUACUGACAUUAAUAGGAGGCAAUCCCAAAAGAGCUUGCAGAAAAAUAACAUUUUAUUAUGUGGUUUUGUUUAUGAAUAUUUCAAUUCUUUCGUUUAACUAUGCACCUUUUCUUUUGUAAUUCUUAAAGUGUUUCGACCCUGCAUUCUCAGCAAGUGUGUUUCUUCAAAGACUUUAUUUAACUAUGAGUAGGUACCUAAGUACAUUUUUAGUAACGACGAUGCCAUCAGACAGAUCAGAGUUAUUAUAUUUACGGGGAUUAGCAUGACCAUGACCAACCAAUGUAUAAAAAUACAGUCAAUAUUAUCAACACCAUUUUAUUUGAAUAGAAAAUAUGUUCAUUUACUUAAUUGAUUCAUGAAAAUGCGUUUUUUAAAAUUUUUCUCCAUUAGGAGAGUGCUGUAUUCCAGCCUAGCAUUCUUCAACUUUUGAAGGUCGCCGUUUUGCAGCAAUUAUUCCACCUUUUGGCGCAGGUUGGCGAUCAGCUAUGGAAGAAAAGGAACAGGAUGGUAUACUUUGGUCCACCACUUCAGGGAUGAUUGCUGGGGGAGAAGGUUCUAAUAGCAAUAUUGCCUCGUCAUCUUUAAAACAAUGUUUUUAUUAAGUAAAUGCAAACUUUGAUUUGUACCGUGAUAA